RNAcentral lists this ribosomal RNA (494 nucleotides) under uncultured bacterium. RNAcentral describes it as "partial 16S ribosomal RNA". It matches the Rfam family "Bacterial small subunit ribosomal RNA", at positions 28 to 507 of the family's 1533-position model. The record is from RNAcentral.
GACGAACGCUGGCGGCGUGCUUAACACAUGCAAGUCGAACGGAAAGGCCUGCUUUCCCUUGUGGAUUGCGGGUGCUCGAGUGGCGAACGGGUGAGUAACACGUGAGUGAUCUGCCCCCAACUUGGGUGUAAGCCUGGGAAACUGGGUCUAAUUCCCGAUAGGACUGCAGGGUGGUGCCUGUGGUGGAAAACGAUUUUCUCGUGGUUGGGGAUGAGCUCGCGGCCUAUCAGCUUGUUGGUGGGGUAAUGACCUACCAAGGCGGCGACUGGUAGCCGGCCUGGGAGGGUGGACGGCCACAUUGGGACUGAGAUCCGGCCCAGACUCCUACGGGAGGCAGGAGUGGGGAAUACUGGACAAUGGGCGGAAGCCUGAUGCAGCGACGCCGCGUGGGGGAUGACGGCCUUCGGGUUGUAAACUCCUUUCGACCGCGAGGAAGCCACCUGGUUGGACGGGUGGUGACGGUAGUGGUAGAAGAAGCACCGGCUAACUACGUG